RNAcentral lists this ribosomal RNA (387 nucleotides) under Choanoflagellata sp. Its description in RNAcentral is "partial small subunit ribosomal RNA". It matches the Rfam family "Eukaryotic small subunit ribosomal RNA", at positions 582 to 975 of the family's 1831-position model. Lineage: Eukaryota; Choanoflagellata. The record is from RNAcentral.
AUUCCUUCUCCAGGAGCGUAUAUUAAAGUUGAUGCAGUUAAAAAGCUCGUAGUCUGAGGUUUGCUGUGUGGUGUGUUGGGUGCGUGAGCGCCUGGCGUGCUGUGUGGCAUUUCUGGGGCUGGGUGUCUGGUGCCCUUGAUUGGGUGUCUGGUGCCUGCCCUGCCUUUACUUUGAAAAAAUUAGAGUGUUCAAAGCAAGCGUGUUGCAUGAAUAGUUCAGCAUGGAAUAAUGGAAGAGGACCUUGGUCUUGUUUCGUUGGUUUCCAGGGCCGAGGUAAUGAUGAAUAGGGACAGUUGGGGGCAUUCGUAUUUAGUUGUCAGAGGUGAAAUUCUUGGAUUUACUACAGACGAACAUCUGCGAAAGCAUCUGCCAAGGAUGUUUUCAUUG